RNAcentral lists this ribosomal RNA (1000 nucleotides) under uncultured bacterium. RNAcentral describes it as "bacterial SSU rRNA". It matches the Rfam family "Bacterial small subunit ribosomal RNA", at positions 356 to 1376 of the family's 1533-position model. The record is from RNAcentral.
GGGGGAUAUUGCGCAAUGGGGGCAACCCUGACGCAGCAACGCCGCGUGAAGGAUGAAGGUUUUCGGAUUGUAAACUUCUUUUAUUAAGGACGAAACUUGACGGUACUUAAUGAAUAAGCUCCGGCUAACUACGUGCCAGCAGCCGCGGUAAUACGUAGGGAGCAAGCGUUGUCCGGAUUUACUGGGUGUAAAGGGUGCGUAGGCGGCUUUGCAAGUCAGAUGUGAAAUCUAUGGGCUCAACCCCGGGACUGCAUUUGAAACUGUAGAGCUUGAGUGAAGUAGGGGCAGGCGGAAUUCCCCGUGUAGCGGUGAAAUGCGUAGAGAUGGGGAGGAACACCAGUGGCGAAGGCGGCCUGCUGGGCUUUAACUGACGCUGAGGCACGAAAGCGUGGGUAGCAAACAGGAUUAGAUACCCUGGUAGUCCACGCUGUAAACGAUGAUUACUAGGUGUGGGGGGUCUGACCCCUUCCGUGCCGGAGUUAACACAAUAAGUAAUCCACCUGGGGAGUACGGCCGCAAGGUUGAAACUCAAAGGAAUUGACGGGGGCCCGCACAAGCAGUGGAGUAUGUGGUUUAAUUCGAAGCAACGCGAAGAACCUUACCAGGUCUUGACAUCCAACUAACGAAGUAGAGAUACAUUAGGUGCCCUUCGGGGAAAGUUGAGACAGGUGGUGCAUGGUUGUCGUCAGCUCGUGUCGUGAGAUGUUGGGUUAAGUCCCGCAACGAGCGCAACCCUUGCUAUUAGUUGCUACGCAAGAGCACUCUAAUAGGACUGCCGUUGACAAAACGGAGGAAGGUGGGGACGACGUCAAAUCAUCAUGCCCCUUAUGACCUGGGCUACACACGUACUACAAUGGAUGUUAACAGAGGGAAGCAAGACAGCGAUGUGGAGCAAACCCCUAAAAACAUUCUCAGUUCAGAUUGCAGGCUGCAACCCGCCUGCAUGAAGAUGGAAUUGCUAGUAAUCGCGGAUCAGCAUGCCGCGGUGAAUACGUUCCCG